CAAACAGUGAGGAUGGAAAGAGGCAGUGGGGGAAAGGAACAAAGAAUAAUUAACAUAAGCAAUUCAACUAUCAAUCAUAAGCCAAUAGUAAGGGAUAUAUGUUUUUCUAGGGAGGAGCAACGUUGUCAUUAUGAGGCUGUUGACUGGAUGCUGUGACUGUGAAUGGCAGUGUAAGGUAACCAUUGGAGACCCAGAGCAGUUCAAUGUGAAAACAGACUGAUCCACUCCAGCAUUACCAAGGAAAUUCUUCUCAGUGACCAUUCGACCAGGAACAUCCAGUCAUGAUAGGCCAGCAGAAGCUUCUCCUCCUGUGGGCAUGGAUGUUGCUGGUGGCAGCACUGUGCCCAGGUGCCCUAUGUAAACGUGGGGGUGGAUUCAGGGGCUGGGGAAAGGGUACAGGGGUGGGAAGCAAAGGGCCCCCCUCCCAGAGCCAUGGCUCCUCCAAGCAGGGGCUGAAGAUGGCAGGGGCAGCAGCCGCUGGGGCACUGGGUGGGGCUGCCAUUGGCUAUGGGCUGGGGUCACUCGGUAGGCCAAGACAUGGCUACAGGGGAAGUGGGUAUGGCUACGACGCAGACUCAUCUUCGGAGGACCAGAGAUUCCAUUAUCCUGAAGGUCAAGGAUUUCACAACCAGUCUGACUGGCGUCGCUACAGAAACGCUGCUGGCCCCAGACCCGGACCCAUGAGUAGCAUCCUCCUCACACUGGGAUCAAUGGUGCCUUUCUUCUUAGGGGACUGGAUAAGGCGAAUCUAGUCAUAAACCAUUUCCUUGGAAGAAGAUUUUAUCUGAAUUUCUGGGCCAAAAGACUAGAGUGGACCGCUUUUAAAUUCAAAUAAACAUUGAAUAAGCCCUCCUCUUGUUGUCCUUUGGGUUAGUCCCACCAUCACCUCUACAAAGCUAUACUCAGUCAAACCUCAUUACCUCUGGAAAAAGAGAUGUAAGAGAGGGGAUUUGUAUGUUAUUGUGUUGUAAAAUCAUGUGUCACAGACUGUCAAACUGGACUGUGCUAGAUCCUAUUUCAGCUUUAUCAACUGUAAUAGCUGGAUGAAAUUAGGUAGGAUGCUGCUGUUUCCAUUAACAUCUACUUGCUGUGAUUUUAAUCAAAUAAGUCAUAUUUUGCCUUUGCAAUAAAUGUGUGAUUAUUCACUAGCUUUUUAUCUGCAAAUAGCAAACAUACAUUUAUGUAACCCAUAUUAAAGUAAUUUCAAACUAUUAUUUUCUGAAAAUCUUAAAAUCUCACUUGGCACAGACGUCAAUUCAAUGUCUAUUCCACGUUGGUUCAAUGUAA
Molecule: long non-coding RNA, 1287 nt
Organism: Oncorhynchus kisutch (coho salmon)
Lineage: Eukaryota; Metazoa; Chordata; Actinopteri; Salmoniformes; Salmonidae
Exons: 2
Source: RefSeq, a predicted model, not a curated record